Molecule: non-coding RNA, 167 nt
Filed under: Pessonella sp. PRA-29
Lineage: Eukaryota; Discosea; Flabellinia; Vannellidae
Source: RNAcentral
AAACAAAAAAAAAUAAUUGAAUUUUAAUUUUAAACUUUUAUUUUUUUAUUGUAUAGCAAGGAGACAGCAACAAACAACAAGAUGUGACCGACACGUCAUUGUUCAACCAUAAUUCCGAUUCAAAACGCCUGUUAUCGGUAUGUUUCAGUGCUAAUUUAUCGACCACA